AAAUUGAAGAGUUUGAUCAUGGCUCAGAUUGAACGCUGGCGGCAGGCCUAACACAUGCAAGUCGAGCGGAAACGAGUUAUCUGAACCUUCGGGGAACGAUAACGGCGUCGAGCGGCGGACGGGUGAGUAAUGCCUAGGAAAUUGCCCUGAUGUGGGGGAUAACCAUUGGAAACGAUGGCUAAUACCGCAUGAUGCCUACGGCCGAAG
This 207-nucleotide ribosomal RNA is filed under the name Vibrio parahaemolyticus. RNAcentral's name for it is "partial 16S ribosomal RNA". It matches the Rfam family "Bacterial small subunit ribosomal RNA", at positions 1 to 191 of the family's 1533-position model. Lineage: Bacteria; Pseudomonadati; Pseudomonadota; Gammaproteobacteria; Vibrionales; Vibrionaceae. The record is from RNAcentral.